GCCUGCGCGCGCCCAAACUUGCCGGCCGCUCUCUUCUCGGCUAGCCCGGGACAGCUCCGGGGCAGGCAAGAGGGCUGAGCUUCGGAGCGACCGCCAGGGACGAGGGGCGCAGAGCGCGCGGGGCGGGGACAGCAGCGCAGACGGUCCUUUGCUUCCCUCCGGCUCCGCCGCUCCACGCAGCGUCUGAGGCUGGGGACUGCCGGGGUGAGCGCCGCACCUCAGGCCUGAGAGCCGCGGCGGCACUGGGAGGAGACCUGGAAGGAGGAGGAGCCGGCCCGGGAGGCUGCUGUGGAGCUGGAGGAGGAAGUGGGGGAGGAGAGGCGCCCUUCUACAGGGGAGAGCUCAGCGUACUUCCGUGAGUGCAGUCGCCGCCUGUCCCGAGACCUGGGCGUCUGUGCAGGGGCCCCCAGCUCCUGAGCCUGGGUCAGCGGCAGCGCUCCUGGACGAAGGCCUCAGGCUGAGCACCUGAGGAGGCGUGGGGGCGGGGGCGGGGAGAUACGGUCCAGCGUCCCAAUCUACCCGCGUCCACGGGAGUAGCAAGGGCACCCACGUUCCCUUGUCCCGCCGGGAACUUCCGUGCGACUGUUGUUUAAAAAUGAGGAAAGCUUUUUAUCAGUUUCUCGUGUUUCUGCUGCUUAGCCUGGCAGGCUCUCACGAACGAAACCCUGUUAAUUAAUGGUCGUUAAUUACACUCCAUUCCACAAACACUGAACUUAAUUACGGAUUUCCAGAAAGCCAGCAUAGCCUCUUGCAAGUGAGGUAUGUAAAGCUUAACUUAGUAGUCAAAGAAAGGAUUCGCAGGGCAAAGAAUUGGCAGUGAUCGUUUUAAAUCAAGUCAGAAUAAUCGAAGCCUUAUUCCCAGUUUGUUAGCUGCGGUUGUAUGAUUUAGAAACACUGAUUUGUUGAUUUAGGAUGUUUGGAUAGACAUAAUUUCAGAGCUGGAAGAAGGACCGCACACCGGUGAAAUAAGGCCCCGCGUGCUUGUUUGCCACUGGUGUGUUUCAUCAAGCCUUGACAACACUGGACUGAGAGAGAGGGCCUUGAGGACAGGAACCUUGACCUUUUUCUUAGUGUUCUUAUUUCUAGCACCUUGCCAAGCAGAUAGUAGUCGAUCAAUAAAAUGUCCAAUCAGUGAAUGAAUAGCAGACGAAAUGAGCAAAGUGCCCAGAGAAGUGACUCUUCCAUAUUUCAAGUGUUUCAUGUGCUACAGAAUCUGUUGAACAAGGUGAAGUUUAAGUGCAUUGUGUGGACUUACAACUUACAAGUAAGUACUGGAACAGUAAUUUCUGUUUUCCCAAAGUAACUAUUAAAACUCAAUCAUAAUAUACAUUAAUAACUAUCAAAUAAUCCUGUGAAAGGAUAUGUAUAUAAAUGAAAGUGAAAUGCCUAAUUCGAAUUUGUAAUAUUUAUUGGACCAGGUCCAGGUGCUCAUGCUGGCAAUCUCAGCACUUUGGGAGACUGAGGCAGGAGGAUUGCUUGAGACCGGGAGUUCCAGGGGAACAUAGGGAGACCUCAUCUCUACAAAAAUUUAAAAAUUAGCUGGGAGUGUGGUGCAUGCCUGUAGUCCCAGCUAUGCCGGAGGCUAAGGCAGGUAGAUAGAUCGCUUAGGCUCAGGAGUUCCAGGUUAUGAUAAGUCAUGAGCCUGCCACUGCACUCCAGCCUGAGUGACAGAACAAGACCCUGUGUUUAAAAAAAAAAAAGGCCGGGCGAGGUGGCUCAUGCCUGUAGUCCUAGCACUUUGGGAGGCUGAGGCCGGCAAAUUGCCUGAGCUCGGGAGUUCGAGACCAGCCUGGGCAACACAGUGAAAUCCCGUCUCUACUAAAAUACAAAAAAUUAGCCGGGCGUGGCGGCAUGCGCCUGCAGUCCCAGCUACUCAGGAGGCUGAGGCAGGAGAAUUGCUUGAACCCGGAAGGCGGAGGCUGCAGUAAGCUGAGAUGGUGCCACUGCACUCCAGCCUGGGCCACAGAGUGAGACUCCAUCUC
This 1982-nucleotide long non-coding RNA is filed under the name Homo sapiens (human). RNAcentral's name for it is "non-protein coding lnc-ZSWIM2-16:1". The record is from RNAcentral. Lineage: Eukaryota; Metazoa; Chordata; Mammalia; Primates; Hominidae.